Molecule: non-coding RNA, 1866 nt
Organism: Paramuricea clavata
Lineage: Eukaryota; Metazoa; Cnidaria; Anthozoa; Malacalcyonacea; Plexauridae
Source: the annotation of a GenBank genome assembly
UUUUUACCACAGGAAUACGAAGUCGAACGAGAUGUUGUCGUGACAUUAAUUGGUGUGAUGUCCUUGAUAAGCGCGAUAUUCAACGCCAUUUUAUUACUUGUUAUAAUAAAAGACCCGUUUAAACAAUUGCGAAAUAUAACAGCAAUUUUACUGGCUUUUAACUCAGCAGCAAAUUUUGGUUGCUCCCUGAUUUUGCUUCUGUACAGCGUGUUUUUCUGGAGUCAUCGGAAUUUAUUCCCUGCAGAACUUGUUGUAUACUUGAACUCAUGUGCUGUGAGUUUAUACUUUAUUGGAAACCUCCUACACACCUUAAACAUUUAUGGCACCAUUGUCGUUCCAGUCCGUUACACUUAUUUGUCUUCGAAAGUCCGUAAGAUGUUGGUUCAAUUUCUGGGGUUAAUAUUCGUCAUUAUUGUGUGUGUGAUUAUGAUUCCUGCCUAUGCAUUACCGAAGACCAAAGUCUUUUCAUAUGUUGAAGGAACAUUAACAUUUGUAUGCGUCCAACUUGCGCUGUUGACUGUAAUAUUUGUGUAUCUAUAUGCAAGGAUAUUUCAAGCAUUAUACGCACGGAAACAGAGACUCUCCGUAUCUUUUAACAUCGAACGUUCAACUCCAUGCGGAAUAAAAAUAAUGAAAAAAAACUAUGAAGUUGCGAAGACAUUAUUCAUUCAUGUUCUUUUCUUUAUGUUAGCUACGGUCCCAGUAGUUAUAAUUCUUAUGAUAGUUCUACAUUGUACUUCGUGUGGUGACCCUACCAAACUUCAUCUAGCUAUUCUCUUCACAUUGCCUUGUGUCUACACUACUUUUGUAUUUCAUCCGAUCCUCUGGCUGUCUAGGCUAAACAGCUAUAAACAAGCGAUGAAACAAACUCUAAGUUUCGGUCGAAGAUCACAAUUGACAUCUCAGUUGAACAAUAAUAAUUGCAGCAUGACCUUGGAAGAAAAUAAGCCAAGGUCAGGAACUGUAUCCUCAGUAACUUCGUUCUAACUUUCUAACGCUGCAGAUGGAAUGAAAUUGUUUCAAUCACCGCUUAAAACUUGAUUUAAACCUUGUCAAACAAUUCGCUUGUAACCUUUUGUUUCUCUACAAAACUAUAAAAAGUUUGGUCAGUGUCUUUCAAGAGUCUCAGUGUACUGUAUAGUUUCCAGUGUCUCAGUGUACUGUAUAAUCACAAGAAAUCGUACGAAAACCGCGAGGCAGAUUUCUUUAUCACAGCAAUAGCCUGCGUUGCAGUGCAUAUAUAGUGAGGUGAAGAUGUGAGCUUCCCCGAAAAUGCCACCGCCGGAAACAAUUGCAGUCCAGCACGGAAAAAGACUCACUGAACCUGUACGCCAUCAGGAAACAUACUAAAAUAUCAUCAACUGUUCAAUUCAUUUGAAUAAAAUUAAAGUUGUUCGAAAAACAAUUAGUUUGGGCUCGGUCCGCAUUGUAAAUUACAAAAUAUAUUCUCUUAUUUAAGUGUACCUCUCUUUAUUUUGCUUUAGACAGGAAGAAGUGUCUAUAUCGUGGCUAUAAAUGAAACUCAUCAAAUAAUGUUGAAUUGCUGAAUACUUUGAUAUGCAUAUUUUAAUGAUCACAGUCUCAGCUGCAUGUUAUCUUUCAACUACUGAAUUCAAAUUCAGUGGCUCGACACAGAACGCGGUCAUUUGGAUGCGCAGCAGAUACGGCUUUCUGGUACGCUUUAAUGAAUAAUAGGCAACGAGAGGAAAAGGGGGAAAAGUGGAAUAAAAACUUGCGGAACAUUUGUCAACAUUAACGCUUUCCCCUUUCGUACUUUUGUACAAUAGAAAUAUUUUACAUAUAGUAUUUAGCUUUGUUUUAUUGCAAAUAUUUAGUUAUCUUUUCAGUCCUGUUAAAACAUUGGUC